This is a non-coding RNA of Physcomitrium patens, 3425 nucleotides long. Lineage: Eukaryota; Viridiplantae; Streptophyta; Bryopsida; Funariales; Funariaceae. The record is from RefSeq and is a predicted model, not a curated record.
AAUAACGAGAGUUGAUUCUUUGAAUCACAGAUACAUUGCAAUGCCCUAUCCCCACAUCAGCUUGUGAGAAAAUCAUCACCGUGCAGAUCCACCACUGUUGCAUUAUCCUAUGCAUGCACAAUCCUCCUUUGCUUUGCACUUCCCACAACCCCUGAUGUGUAGGUUCUUUGAAUACCCUUGAAUCAUACCAGACUAUGCAUUUCACAAUUGCAGAGGUAUGUUGUUGGAAUCGUGAAGGUGCUGGAGAAAGGCUUGUGGAUCGGUGCAUUGCGUGAAGAGAUGCCACAGCAGCCGGUUCGUAUCCUGUUUUGUCCGAGACUGCUGUUUGUUUGGUGAGUGCGCACCCGAGUGCAACUCCAGCAUUUGCUAUAAAGGAAUAGCUCCUGAUUGCUAUUUAGAGCUGCAGUUGCAAACCCACUUGGUGCUUGAGCUUGAACUCCGUGUCGAGGCAGAGUGCAACCAGAUCUUAGUUUGGAGCGUGGUUGGAGAUGAGAUCCUCUCAUUCCCCUACUCUCGUUUCGACUCCGCCUUUCCUCAGUUUCGAUCUAGAUGUUCCACCUACGGCAAGGGUCUCUCUUCAUGCGGUCAUGUACAUUUGAAAAAACAGAAUUCUAUUUUAUUUUAUUUUAUUUUGUCAAUCUCCUUGUGUUGCCAAGCGGGAGCUGUAGCAUCUGCUGAAUCAGCUUCUCAGGCGGAAUUUCUUUCAUGAUCAUAAUUUGGCAGGGAGUUGAGUUGGAGGGAGCGAAGGAGAGGAAUGUGAGAUAGGAGGUGAUGGUGAUUGUGGAUGAAGUCGUUGGGAUGCAUGCGAGAAUAGAAUUAGUAGCGUUUGCAACGUGGGGCAGGGAAGAAGAGCAGAGGAAGAGUAGUUGCGCGUGGUUGAAGUGAUCAGCUAGCGUGAAGUGGUAGAGGACUGGAGGAAGGAGUAAUUUCAACGAUCAGACAACCAGCAGGGUGCCUGGAGAAAGGUGUUGGUUGUGAGCUGGUGAAGUAGUGAUGAAUGAACCACGCGGAAGAGAUUGUUUUGAGUAGCUUCUUUUAGGAUUAGGUUGUGAGAGCCAAGCGGCAGAGGAGUUGCAUUGGUGGUUUCCAGUGCGACGGAUCUCUGCUUCGGGUUCCGUAAGUGUCCAGACCUUCUUAAUUUUGGAGAUCGGGUUAGAGUAGGAAAACUUAAUCACCUCUUUAGGAUGAUACUGUUGUCUUAAUUAAUAUCGCCAUGCUAUUUUGUCAGCCAACGACAUUCAUUUAUUUAUUUUUGACUUCAACACGUCAUGCUGGAAAGGUCCGGAAGUACUCAUGACGUAUUGGCCUCAAUGGUGUUACUGUCUACAAUGCUCUUUGCAUGUUAAUCUCUACCUGUUGCAGAACUCUCAGCUGAAGCCAGUGCGGUGUGGGGCUCAUUGUAAAAAUGGAACUUAAUGAUCAUCCAGGAAGGAACCUCAAAAGGUUCGAAUUUUUCACAUUUUUGAAGUUUGAAUGAAAGAGGGAAAUAUAUAAGUAGGCAAUAUUAGUGCUGAGACAGCAGGACAUAAGAGUAUAGGAGCAGCAGGGGAGCCACCAUGGCUUCAUGUGCGACGAGAGGCAUUCGAAUAUGGUAUGCUGCCACUUCCUAGUCUUGUGCACGGUGAUGUAGUGACUGGCUUGAGAAACCUUCGAGUCAAACUACUUCAGCAAGCUCCUCCCAUUUCCACCUGGUCUUCGAGCAUCAAUUCCAAUACAGUUUUGAACGAUAUGGGAGGAGCUAUGGAUUGCCUGGCUACCACACCAGCGACUGAAACCGACUCUGUAGGUGUUGAUAUUGAUAUUGAUAUUUUUACAUAUUCAAUCUUAUCGAAAGGUAUAGUCCCGCCGACACCGAGGUGCUGCUGAUGUCGCUGUUAUGUGGCCUUUCGCUUCUACAACUGAUGGAUUUCUUCCUGGCCUAUCUCCUAUGCAGGUGAGGAUGCAUUCUGCUGAUCGCAGCAGAUCAUGAAUCUGGAUCUAGGUUAUAAGGAACCUGAAAUUGGAAUAAUCCCUUUCUCCAGAAUAUAAAUGCCAAUCAAGAUAAAAUUCUUUCAUUUGAGUUCUUUGGUGGUAAAUUGAUUUACAACCAAACAUCAUACACCAACCUGAAUUUAUUUAUUUAUUUUUACAGACCCAAUGAUUUCAACAAAAAUGAGCUUUUGCAACGACAGUCACUAAAAUGAUUCAAUUGAAAAAUAUUCAAAAGCAUUUUAGUUUUGAAGAUGCAUGUGUUCUGAUCAUGAUGCAGUCAUUUUACACCACCCGACAUUCAUUGCAGAAAACCUUAAUAACUUAAGGUUUUGCAAGUCCAGUUUACGUUUUAGUAAACCGUUUCACCACCAAAAGGUUCAUUUGCAUUUGUGUAACCCUAACUUGAGAAUCAAUUUAAAUAUAAUAGAUGGUCAAUAACAAUUACAAGAAAUUCACUAAAUGUAGUUCAAAAGCAGUAGUACUCCAUUUAUAGGUUUCCCCAUGUUUCAUGAUGCAUUGGAACAUUCAGUUCCACAGCAUGGUGUCAUGGCUCACAGGAUGGUGGCAUCAAGAGUAAAUGAUCAGGGCAUGUGCUUGACUUGUAGAACUGCUGUAUUUGGUGUCUUGUAAAAUCAUCUCAAUUACUUUGAAUGUUGUGAAUUACUGCUAUAUACGAGGUUCGUGAUGACGACUACUCUUCAUAACGAUUUCAGGAUUGCAGCUAGAUCCCAUCAAUUGUAAAUACAUUUUCAAGUAGGUCUUGCUUUGCUUCACCUGUAGUAACUAGUUGAUUGGUUUUACAUUCUUCAAAACAGGACACCAUCAUUGUUGCGGGCAGUCAUAUCAUCGAUGCUCCGGAACAUGAGGGGUGUGGUAAUUUCGAGACAGUAAGCUUUCAAAGUACUCAUGAUUAGGUUAAAAUGUGCUAUUAGAAGCUUUCCUUCACAUAUGUGAGUGGUUGUUACACUACAACUGAAGAUCAGUAUCUUUUCACACACAGAGAAAGAGAUAGAAAGAGAGAGAGAUACGUUGUUGUAUACAGCUCGAUCAUGCAAGUGACACUCAACUUCGAAAGAACGUGGUGAAAGCAAAUGGUGUGAGGAGAAACGUAGCUUGAGAAGAAAAAAACGGUCAAUACCUACAAGUAGAACCACGAUUCCGGGAGCUGAGACACGAGUUACUGAACAGCACUAAUUGUGAAGACCCAAUGGUACAAACCAAUACACUACCAGGAUACCCGGCUCACAAUAUCAGAGGCAAAAAUUCACGUACCGUCUUCCAAUUUGUCUGAACAAGAAUUUGAGUCCCCUUUGUCACACAAAAAGGACAUGAAAAUGGGGGUAUAAUGCUAUAUUGUGACCAGUACCACCAAGUCACUCGCAAAAUUAACUCAACUACUGGAAUUUCGAAAUGUGGUGGGGGCCAAUAUCAAUCAAACUCGUGCUAAAGAAAAA